GGAUCUGUGACAAAAAGAGCAGAAUGAGCAAUGAGAUUUUAGAAAUCCUUAUUUCAUGUUCAGUCCCCCUCCUUUUUAGCCUUCUUUGAUUUAUGUCAGUUUUGUGCAGACUGGCAAAACUCUUCUACAUGUUUCUACAAUAUUAGAUUUUGGGCUAAUGCAAAGGGCUAUGAGAGCCUAGACUGGCUAACCUUCUGGACACACUACAAGGCCUUAUCCGUUCACUGGGGGGAUUGGCGUUGGAACUGCAUCAUUAGUUGCUUUUCCGCUGAUGUGCUUUAGCCGUUGUCAUGGUCUUAGCCUCUGGUUGCAUGCAACCACAGGCUCUGGGGGG
Molecule: long non-coding RNA, 334 nt
Organism: Dermochelys coriacea (leatherback sea turtle)
Lineage: Eukaryota; Metazoa; Chordata; Testudines; Dermochelyidae
Exons: 3
Source: RefSeq, a predicted model, not a curated record